Long non-coding RNA from Mesocricetus auratus (golden hamster), 438 nucleotides. RefSeq lists it as uncharacterized. The record is from RefSeq and is a predicted model, not a curated record. The transcript is spliced from 2 exons. NCBI's taxonomy places the organism in Eukaryota, Metazoa, Chordata, Mammalia, Rodentia, Cricetidae.
CUGGGUGAGCUUGAAAAAUACACGUUUCGCACCGCUACCCCCAAGUCAAUCGGCCUGGGGUGGGAUCCAGAUACUUGUCUUCUUAAAAGUUCCCGGAAGUUCCAGAGACCUGCCAAGGCUAACAAACUGCAGGAGUUUGGGCUGCUUCCAGGGAUGGUUUCAAAGCUGGCCCAGCGCGGUCGCACGGCGCCUCCCACUGCAGGGACCAGCGGAUACGGAAGGACUGAAGCAGAUGGCGGAUGGGCUCCAUUCAGGUGGCACCUGAGGGCAACUGUUCCAGAUUACCUCUCCUCUGAGGCCAGCUGAGCAUCGCUCUUAGACCAAUCUGGAAGAGUCUUCAAGGCUUUACUGCUUCUUCAGCGGACUGUUGAUUGACACGAAAAUUACAUUGCUGACAAGCGAUCCUGUCCCCGAAAAACAAAAGCGAAAUAAAAGAAA